AAAGCCAUGAGGUCAAAGGAACUGCCUGCAGAGCUCAGAGACAGUGUUGGAGCCAUAUAGUAAUUUAGAUGACGUCAGAGGUGAUGGACUGCUGCUUCUUCUUCUGCCACAUGAGGAGGACGCACUGGUGGAUGAACACAUUUAGGUGCCAGAGUCUGACCUCGGUCUGGACCAUGGACAGACGGUGGGAUCUCAUCUCAGACACCAUGCCCAGGAUGUCGACAAACUCGUGCUCUCUGA
Molecule: long non-coding RNA, 240 nt
Organism: Cheilinus undulatus (humphead wrasse)
Lineage: Eukaryota; Metazoa; Chordata; Actinopteri; Labriformes; Labridae
Exons: 3
Source: RefSeq, a predicted model, not a curated record